GAGAGAGAGAGAGACCUUGAAGGGAUCAGGAACCACGUUACAAGAUGCUUCAUUUGUAGAGUUAAAUCUUGCUUGUCUUUGUGUCUGUUUGUCUGUCUGUCUGUCUGUCUUUCUCUUCAUCUAGCUCACCGUCUUUCUCUCCUCUAUUUCCUUACCUAUCUAUCUCUCUAACUUCACUUAUUUUUUUCUUUACGUAUUUUUUCUUUACAUAUGUUCGUUCGUCCAUUCGUCUGAGUUCAAAUUAUCUUCUGUAUUCAACUUCUUCUUUGUCUGUCUGUCUAUCUGUCUAUCUGUCUAGUUGUCGAAGAGUACUGGUUUCUCUCUGCCUGCUUGCUUGCCUGCCUGUGUGUCUGUCUGUCUAUCUGUCUAGUUGUCGAAGAGUACAGGUUUCUCUCUGCCUGCUUGCUUGCCUGCCUGUGUCUGUCUGUCUGUUUGUGUUCAUCUGUUUAUCUCUUCUCGUUUGCGUGUCUUUAUCUGAGAGUGAAAGAUAACGUCUGUGUCAACCUCUUUUAUGCAUAUCUCUUAAUCUGCUCUCUCUCUCUCUCUCUCUCUCUCUCUCUCUCUCUCUCUCUCUCUCUCUCUCUCUCUCUCUCUCUCUCUCUCUCUCUCUUUAUCUAUGUAUCAAUCUAUCUGUGUUUGUGUCCCAAGAUUCACAUAUGAGAUGCAACACACACACACACCCCACCCACCCCACACACACCUCCCCCCUCCCUCCAUAAACCAGUACUAACCCCGCCCCCCGCACCCCGCCCUCCGCCGACCUCGCCCUCGCCCUCGUCCUCGUCCUCGCUGCAAGGUUGCCGCGGAAACAGAUUCUCGCCGAUCAAGCAAGAAAAAUAAAGAAGGAGCGCGACUUAAUGGUCACUUUGGGAGGUUAAUGCGGCGAUAUUUACGACUUGUUUAUGUGGAGAGCCGGCGAGAGGUGGAGGAGGGAGGGAGGGUGGAGGGGUGGAGGAAGGAGGACAAAAGGACGUAAAGGAUAUUGAGGAAGAAACAAAGGAAGAAAGUAGAGAUCAUAAGGUACUAGAGAAAGACAAAAGAGGUAAACUGAGAUGGAAAGCGAGAGGUGGAGGAGGGAGGGAGGGUGGAGGGGUGGAGGAAGGAGGAUAGAAGGACGUAAAGGAUUUUGAGGAAGGAACAAAGGAAGAAAGUAAAGAGAUCAUAAAUUACUAGAGGUAGAAAGACAAAAGAGAUAAAUUGAGGUGGAAAGGGAGAGAAAGAAGAGAGAAAGAAGAGGAGAGAAAGAAAAGAGGAUAGGGGGAGAAGGGAAGGACGUAAAGGAUAUGAAGGAAGGAAGAAACGAUUCAAGGAAGAAGAGUUUAGGAAAGUUAUGGAAGUAGAGAGACAAAGAGAGAGGAGGCAAAGUGGAGAGCAAUGAAGGAAGAGGAGGAGGGAGGAGAAGGGAAGAAGGACGUAAAGAAUAUGAAGAAAGAAAGAAAGAAAGAAAGAAAGAAAGAAAGAAAGAAAGAAAGUAUAGAGUGUUAAGGAGUUAUUGGAAGCAGAAAAACAAAGGGACAAACAAAGUGAGAUGAGGAGGGAGAAGAGGAAAAAGAAGAAGGGAGAGAAGAGAAGGGAAGAAGGACUUAAAGAAUAUAAAAAAGAAAGAAAGAAAGAAAGGAAGCAAGGAAGUACAGGGUGUUAGGAGAUAUUGGAAGCAGAAAAAUAAAGGGAGAAAAUGUAAAGUGAAGUGAGGAGGGAGAAGAGGAAAACAGGAAGGGAGACAGAAGGGAAGAAG
Molecule: long non-coding RNA, 1735 nt
Organism: Eriocheir sinensis (Chinese mitten crab)
Lineage: Eukaryota; Metazoa; Arthropoda; Malacostraca; Decapoda; Varunidae
Exons: 2
Source: RefSeq, a predicted model, not a curated record